This 37-nucleotide non-coding RNA is filed under the name unclassified sequences. Its description in RNAcentral is "L31-Actinobacteria ribosomal protein leader". It matches the Rfam family "L31-Actinobacteria ribosomal protein leader". The record is from RNAcentral.
GCGGUACCGGUUCACGCCCUCGGGCGACCCGGCGACC